Molecule: transfer RNA, 74 nt
Filed under: Bacillota bacterium
Lineage: Bacteria; Bacillati; Bacillota
Description: Firmicutes bacterium (anaerobic digester metagenome) tRNA-Gly
Rfam family: tRNA
About the family: Transfer RNA (tRNA) molecules are approximately 80 nucleotides in length. Their secondary structure includes four short double-helical elements and three loops (D, anti-codon, and T loops).
Source: RNAcentral
GCGGGUAUAGCUUAGUGGUAGAGCUCCAGCUUCCCAAGCUGGCUGUGUGGGUUCGAUUCCCAUUACCCGCUCCA